CAGCAGCCGCCGCGGUAAUACGUAGGGGGCGAGCGUUGUCCGAAGUUACUGGGCGUAAAGCGCGCGUAGGCGGCUUCUUAAGUCUGAGGUGAAAGGUUCAACGCUUAACGUGAACAGUGCCUUGGAUACUGGGGAGCUUGAGUAUGGGAGAGGGCAGUGGAAUGGCUGGUGUAGCGGUGAAAUGCGUAGAUAUCAGUCAGAACACCCAUGGCGAAGGCAGCUGCCUGGCCUAAUACUGACGCUGAGGUGCGAAAGCGUGGGGAGCGAACGGGAUUAGAUACCCGCGUAGUCCCUGUCUCUUAUA
RNAcentral lists this ribosomal RNA (304 nucleotides) under uncultured bacterium. RNAcentral's name for it is "partial 16S ribosomal RNA". It matches the Rfam family "Bacterial small subunit ribosomal RNA", at positions 506 to 808 of the family's 1533-position model. The record is from RNAcentral.